RNAcentral lists this unclassified non-coding RNA (284 nucleotides) under plant metagenome. Its description in RNAcentral is "partial contains small subunit ribosomal RNA and internal transcribed spacer 1". The stretch from base 1 to 53 matches the Rfam family "Eukaryotic small subunit ribosomal RNA", at positions 1778 to 1831 of the family's 1831-position model. The record is from RNAcentral.
GGAAGUAAAAUCGUAACAAGGUUUCCGUAGGUGAACCUGCGGAAGGAUCAUUAUUGUAUAACCGAGGUGCGAGGGCUGUCGCUGACCCGAAAGGUCGUGCACGCCCGAGUGCCCUCACACACAUCCAUCUCACCCCUAUGUGCACCACCGCGUGGGUCCCCCUUUGGCUUGUUCGGAGGGGGGCUUACGUUUUCACACAAACUUUGUAUGCAGUGUAGAAUGUAUUUUUUGUUUUUGCGAUCACGCAAUCAAUACAACUUUCAACAACGGAUCUCUUGGCUUUC